CUACGGGUCGCACCAGUGGGGAAUAUUGCACAAUGGACGAAAGUCUGAUGCAGCAACGCCGCGUGGAGGAUGACACAUUUCGGUGCGUAAACUCCUUUUAUAUAGGAAGAUAAUGACGGUACUAUAUGAAUAAGCGCCGGCUAACUCCGUGCCAGCAGCCGCGGUAAUACAGAGGGCGCAAGCGUUACUCGGAAUCACUGGGCGUAAAGAGCGUGUAGGCGGAUAGAUAAGUCAGGAGUGAAAUCCUAUGGCUCAACCAUAGAACUGCUCUUGAAACUGUCUAUCUAGAAUAUGGGAGAGGUAGAUGGAAUUUCUGGUGUAGGGGUAAAAUCCGUAGAGAUCAGAAGGAAUACCGAUUGCGAAGGCGAUCUACUGGAACAUUAUUGACGCUGAGACGCGAAAGCGUGGGGAGCAAACAGGAUUAGAUACCCGUGUAGUC
Molecule: ribosomal RNA, 439 nt
Filed under: uncultured bacterium
Lineage: Bacteria
Description: partial 16S ribosomal RNA
Rfam family: Bacterial small subunit ribosomal RNA
Source: RNAcentral